GCUUGAUAUUUUGGUCCCUUGGGGCCUUCCUGCUCUUCUCUCAAAAUCUGCAGACACAAGACUGCCUGCUCUGCCUUGAGAGUUGCUACUGCCAGUGGUGCUGUCUUUGCCCUCCUGAAACCUCUGGGGAUAGAGUUGCUGUGCUGGCUCUCUGCGCUCGGAAAACUCAUGGGGUGGAUUCCCAUUAAAACUCAUUAAUGGACUCCCAUUAAAACUUCUGCUGCUAGCGUGGGCUUCCUUAUCAGAAAAUGUGAAACUGGGCAAAGGCAUGCCAUAUAAUCUCCUAGGAGGUAGCCAGUGACUACAACCUGUUUUCUAAAGCAAUGCCUCCUGGACCGGUUGUGAUCAUCUCUCAGGGUGGCAUCUUAUUUGUGCAUGCCUGAGCCUUGGUGUCUGCCAGACACACUAAAUGUGGUUAACUGCAAAGAAACUCACUGUUCUCUCACAUUUACCGUUUAUCACAAGGCCAGCAAGGUGAACUAUCUACAGGAGCUGCACGGGGACAAGUUUAGUGCCCAACAUCUUCAGGUGGGCAGGAGCAUCCACCCAUCCAUUCACACAUUCAGGGUGUGUAGUAAUGUAGCGCUCAAGGACAGUGGCCCAGGAAUAUGGAAAUUUUUUUUUCUUUUUUUUUUUUUUUAA
This 642-nucleotide long non-coding RNA is filed under the name Apteryx owenii (little spotted kiwi). Its description in RNAcentral is "lncRNA (ENSAOWG00000016962.1)". The record is from RNAcentral. Lineage: Eukaryota; Metazoa; Chordata; Aves; Apterygiformes; Apterygidae.